Molecule: long non-coding RNA, 664 nt
Filed under: Phoenix dactylifera (date palm)
Lineage: Eukaryota; Viridiplantae; Streptophyta; Magnoliopsida; Arecales; Arecaceae
Description: long non-coding RNA (PDAC_LNC019775)
Source: RNAcentral
AGGUAAAGACCAACUAUAAUUCUUUCCGGGCAUAAGUUGACAAUUCAAUUGCUCAAAGCGAUCAAUGGAUUCGCACGAAGGAAGGUGAAUCCUUCUCGCGUGAAAGAUGCACCCAGACCUGUUUUUAUCUCUGUAUGUAUCUUUACCCCUUGCUUGUACCGAAAAGAAAAAAGAAAUUACAAAUCAUUGAGAUGAUGUGUUUCUAUUAGCUAGUAGAGAGUUUUCUAUUAGAAUGGUAACGUAACCUGAAAUCUAUCCACUAAGCUUUGCGUUGGAUUCGUGCCAAUGCUGUCAUGCAUGAUAUGUGUGGUACGGGCUGGUCAUCCCAGAGAGCACGAAAGGAGCAUAAGACCACCUCAAGCUACCUUAGGCUGCUCAAUAUGCGUCCAUAGCUAAUAAAUGAAUAUAAAGCAUAGCAAAUGGCUCUUAAUCUACGGAUGGCACCACCUUCUGCUAUUUCGGCAAGAGGUUAAGGAUUCAACUCCAAGGAAAUUAUUGGUCGAAUCAGGUUCACUGCUGAGCUGGUAGUCCAACCAGAAAGCAUCAUGGAUAAUCACAGAAAGAAAAAAAAGGGAAAAAAAAAAUGAAGCUUUUGUUCAUGUUGCUUUUUGGUUGGAUUGGUCCACCAACUAAAAAAUUCUCUUAAUUCUAGUUAGGAUCGCUC